CCAGACUCCUACGGGAGGCAGCAGUGGGGAAUAUUGGACAAUGGACCGAAAGUCUGAUCCAGCAAUUCUGUGUGCACGAUGAAGUUUUUCGGAAUGUAAAGUGCUUUCAGUUGGGAAGAAAUAAAUGACGGUACCAACAGAAGAAGUGACGGCUAAAUACGUGCCAGCAGCCGCGGUAAUACGUAUGUCACGAGCGUUAUCCGGAUUUAUUGGGCGUAAAGCGCGUCUAGGUGGUUAUGUAAGUCUGAUGUGAAAAUGCAGAGCUCAACUUUGUAUUGCGUUGGAAACUGUAUAACUAGAGUACUGGAGAGGUAAGCGGAACUACAAGUGUAGAGGUGAAAUUCGUAGAUAUUUGUAGGAAUGCCGAUGGGGAAGCCAGCUUACUGGACAGAUACUGACGCUAAAGCGCGAAAGCGUGGGUAGCAAACAGGAUUAGAUACCCUGGUAGUCCACGCUGUAAACGAUGAUUACUAGGUGUUGGGGGUCGAACCUCAGCGCCCAAGCAAACGCGAUAAGUAAUCCGCCUGGGGAGUACGUACGCAAGUAUGAAACUCAAAGGAAUUGACGGGGCCCGCACAAG
Molecule: ribosomal RNA, 580 nt
Filed under: uncultured bacterium
Lineage: Bacteria
Description: bacterial SSU rRNA
Rfam family: Bacterial small subunit ribosomal RNA
Source: RNAcentral